Molecule: non-coding RNA, 97 nt
Organism: Hermanssonia centrifuga
Lineage: Eukaryota; Fungi; Basidiomycota; Agaricomycetes; Polyporales; Meruliaceae
Source: the annotation of a GenBank genome assembly
UCCCGUUUAGCUCAGCUGGUAGAGCGCGUCACUAGUAAUAAUACGCUUACGCAAAAAUUUAAUGACGAGGUCAGUCGUUCAAGUCGGCUAAUGGGAA